Molecule: ribosomal RNA, 465 nt
Filed under: Vreelandella stevensii
Lineage: Bacteria; Pseudomonadati; Pseudomonadota; Gammaproteobacteria; Oceanospirillales; Halomonadaceae
Description: partial 16S ribosomal RNA
Rfam family: Bacterial small subunit ribosomal RNA
Source: RNAcentral
CCUACGGGUGGCAGCAGUGGGGAAUAUUGGACAAUGGGGGGAACCCUGAUCCAGCCAUGCCGCGUGUGUGAAGAAUGCCCUCGGGUUGUAAAGCACUUUCAGUGAGGAAGAACGCCUGGUGGUUAAUACCCAUCAGGAAAGACAUCACUCACAGAAGAAGCACCGGCUAACUCCGUGCCAGCAGCCGCGGUAAUACGGAGGGUGCGAGCGUUAAUCGGAAUUACUGGGCGUAAAGCGCGCGUAGGUGGCUUGAUAAGCCGGUUGUGAAAGCCCCGGGCUCAACCUGGGAACGGCAUCCGGAACUGUCAAGCUAGAGUGCAGGAGAGGAAGGUAGAAUUCCCGGUGUAGCGGUGAAAUGCGUAGAGAUCGGGAGGAAUACCAGUGGCGAAGGCGGCCUUCUGGACUGACACUGACACUGAGGUGCGAAAGCGUGGGUAGCAAACAGGAUUAGAUACCCUUGUAGUC